Molecule: ribosomal RNA, 497 nt
Filed under: uncultured bacterium
Lineage: Bacteria
Description: partial 16S ribosomal RNA
Rfam family: Bacterial small subunit ribosomal RNA
Source: RNAcentral
GAUGAACGCUGGCGGCGUGCCUAAUACAUGCAAGUCGAGCGAACAGACGAGGAGCUUGCUCCUCUGACGUUAGCGGCGGACGGGUGAGUAACAUGUGGAUAACCUACCUAUAAGACUGGGAUAACUUUGGGAAACCGUAGCUAAUACCGGAAAAUAUAUUGAACCGCAUGGUUCCAUAGUGAAAGACGGUUUUGCUGUCACUUAUAGUUGGAUCAGCGCCGCAUUAGUUAGUUGGUAAGGUAACGGCUUACCAAGGCGACGAUGCUUAGCCGACCUGAGGGGGUGAUCGGCCACACUGGAACUGAGACACGGUCCAGACUCCUACGGGAGGCAGCAGUAGGGAAUCUUCCGCAAUGGGCGAGAGCCUGACGGAGCAACGCCGCGUGAGUGAUGAUGGUCUUCGGAUCCUAAACCUCUGUUAGUAGGGAAGUACAAAUGUGUAAGUACCUAUGCACGUCUUGACGGUACCUAAUCAGAAAGCCACGGCUAACUACGUG